UACGAAGGGGGCUAGCGUUGCUCGGAAUCACUGGGCGUAAAGCGCACGUAGGCGGAUUCUUAAGUCAGGGGUGAAAUCCCGGAGCUCAACUCCGGAACUGCCUUUGAUACUGGGAGUCUCGAGUUCGGGAGAGGUGAGUGGAACUGCGAGUGUAGAGGUGAAAUUCGUAGAUAUUCGCAAGAACACCAGUGGCGAAGGCGGCUCACUGGCCCGAUACUGACGCUGAGGUGCGAAAGCGUGGGGAGCAAACAGG
RNAcentral lists this ribosomal RNA (253 nucleotides) under uncultured bacterium. Its description in RNAcentral is "partial 16S ribosomal RNA". It matches the Rfam family "Bacterial small subunit ribosomal RNA", at positions 524 to 776 of the family's 1533-position model. The record is from RNAcentral.